GACGAACGCUGGCGGCGUGCUUAACACAUGCAAGUCGAACGGAAAGGCCCUGCUUUUGUGGGGUGCUCGAGUGGCGAACGGGUGAGUAACACGUGAGUAACCUGCCCUUGACUUUGGGAUAACUUCAGGAAACUGGGGCUAAUACCGGAUAGGAGCUCCUGCUGCAUGGUGGGGGUUGGAAAGUUUCGGCGGUUGGGGAUGGACUCGCGGCUUAUCAGCUUGUUGGUGGGGUAGUGGCUUACCAAGGCUUUGACGGGUAGCCGGCCUGAGAGGGUGACCGGCCACAUUGGGACUGAGAUACGGCCCAGACUCCUACGGGAGGCAGCAGUGGGGAAUAUUGCACAAUGGGCGGAAGCCUGAUGCAGCAACGCCGCGUGCGGGAUGACGGCCUUCGGGUUGUAAACCGCUUUCGCCUGUGACGAAGCGUGAGUGACGGUAAUGGGUAAAGAAGCACCGGCUAACUACGUGCCAGCAGCCGCGGUGAUACGUAGGGUGCGAGCGUUGUCCGGAUUUAUUGGGCGUAAAGGGCUCGUAGGUGGUUGAUCGCGUCGGAAGUGUAAUCUUGGGGCUUAACCCUGAGCGUGCUUUCGAUACGGGUUGACUUGAGGAAGGUAGGGGAGAAUGGAAUUCCUGGUGGAGCGGUGGAAUGCGCAGAUAUCAGGAGGAACACCAGUGGCGAAGGCGGUUCUCUGGGCCUUUCCUGACGCUGAGGAGCGAAAGCGUGGGGAGCGAACAGGCUUAGAUACCCUGGUAGUCCACGCUGUAAACGGUGGGUACUAGGUGUGGGGUCCAUUCCACGGGUUCCGUGCCGUAGCUAACGCUUUAAGUACCCCGCCUGGGGAGUACGGCCGCAAGGCUAAAACUCAAAGGAAUUGACGGGGCCCCGCACAAGCGGCGGAGCAUGCGGAUUAAUUCGAUGCAACGCGUAGAACCUUACCUGGGUUUGACAUGGAUCGGGAGUGCUCAGAGAUGGGUGUGCCUCUUUUGGGGUCGGUUCACAGGUGGUGCAUGGCUGUCGUCAGCUCGUGUCGUGAGAUGUUGGGUUAAGUCCCGCAACGAGCGCAACCCUUGUUCACUGUUGCCAGCACGUUAUGGUGGGGACUCAGUGGAGACCGCCGGGGUCAACUCGGAGGAAGGUGGGGAUGACGUCAAGUCAUCAUGCCCCUUAUGUCCAGGGCUUCACGCAUGCUACAAUGGCUGGUACAGAGAGUGGCGAGCCUGUGAGGGUGAGCGAAUCUCGGAAAGCCGGUCUCAGUUCGGAUUGGGUCUGCAACUCGACCUCAUGAAGUCGGAGUCGCUAGUAAUCGCAGAUCAGCAACGCUGCGGUGAAUACGUUCCCGGGGCU
RNAcentral lists this ribosomal RNA (1345 nucleotides) under uncultured bacterium. RNAcentral describes it as "partial 16S ribosomal RNA". It matches the Rfam family "Bacterial small subunit ribosomal RNA", at positions 28 to 1381 of the family's 1533-position model. The record is from RNAcentral.